This 1617-nucleotide long non-coding RNA is filed under the name Physcomitrium patens. RNAcentral's name for it is "long non-coding RNA (PPAT_LNC001342)". Lineage: Eukaryota; Viridiplantae; Streptophyta; Bryopsida; Funariales; Funariaceae. The record is from RNAcentral.
GCAACUUUUGGAAUAAUAGAAGUUGUCAAAUUACAAUAACUCCAAUGAUUUUAGUUAGGAAUAUAAAAGAUGAAGUUAGAAUAGGAUAUUAGACUUGGUUAGCAUUUUGUAUACUAUGAGCUAAAAUAAACCCCUACAAGUUGGAAGUCUAUUCUAAUUCAAUUUUAAUUGUCUAAAUCUUCUAACAAUUCCUCUUAGCAUUUGUGUCCAACAAUUCUAUUAACUCUUCAAUUUUGAGAUAAAAUAGACCACCCUAGUAGGUGAUUUAUUCUAAUUCACAACCACUACUUAAUCUAUGAAGUGAUUUAAUAAAAACUCUUACUACUUCUUGUCAAAAUAGAUAAAAUUCUCUACCAAUUUUAAUCCACAUUCAAUUUUCCAAGAUUCUCAUAAUACAGUUUGUUGGUGAUGAGCCGGAACACAAUUGGGAAGUCCUAGCCGAGCACCUUGUUGCUCCGGGGCGCUGGUGAACCCACCGUUGACAUUACUUCCAGUCCUCCCUCCGAUCUCGAUCCGAUGCGGUGAGAAUGCUAUUGUGAGUGCUUCCACUUCGAAUUCCUUGUUGCUCUCGAUGCCCCACUCUUGUUGUUGCCAGGCUUUCAAUGCAGCAAUCCUUGUAGGCGCUGAUCGGGUUCCUUCUUGUGCAAAAAGGUAGACGAUAGAUUCCAGUCUACACUUCGACCCCGAUGCAACGUAGAUUCGGCUUGGUCGCCUUGCUGCGAUACAAGUGUCGACAGCAACCACUGACUAGCUCUACGCUUGUCUAACCAUCGACUCUUCUACAGGAGGAACUCGCACAGCAUUCACAGCCCCCACAAAGACCUCGCUUCCGAAAGAAAAGAUCCAGGAACAAAGGGCUUGUAAUCUCGCCACGGCCUCAUAUACAAUGUAAGCUCAAGUACAUGAAUAAACCGGCUAGUUGAAUUGGCUUCACUUGAAGAUCAAGUACAGUAAAAGGACUUGCUCUAACAUAGCAUUUAAGGUUCCACGAGAAAAGAACCAACGAAUCAUGCGACUCGCAAUUCCGCUGCUACCGCGACACCGCACUCGACAUUGUCGACCAUAGUCGUCUGCCUCGCUACUUCCAGAACUCAACAAUGGUGGUUAUCCUUCAAAUGAUUCAUUUACUCGAAAUCAAUUAAAAUCUGAAGGCUAUUACGAUCAAUCGGCAAGUCCCGAUCUUUCCGUUAGAGUAAUGAAAAAGAGGGUGCAGAGGCUUGGACAAUUGGAAAAAAUCAAAAGGUGAGCUCUGGCAACUUGCGGCAACGUCGGAAGUUGCGGUUCUUCUCACUUCUUUUGCUCCAUCGACUCUUCUUACCACUCACACCAAGCGAUUUAAAGCCAAGUGGAACUACUGCCUCAAUUCAAAGCCACUUCAUCGCGAGCUGACACCAAGUCAUGCAACCGUAGCAAGCCCGCCACUUCUGCGGCGACGCAAUAUAUCGGAAAAAACCGAAACGAACACAAUGCUGAACAGAGCACCACCUACCCCAACAGAACUGCUUCUCCCAUAACAUGAAUCGAGAACACCAAUUUGUGUUCAAUUCACAGGGAGGAUAGAUUUCCAACCACACAAGGGAAAUAACAAAAAAAACUAGAAGCCAUAUGUGGCUUCCC